AACGAACGCUGGCGGCAUGCCUAACACAUGCAAGUCGAACGAGACCUUCGGGUCUAGUGGCGCACGGGUGCGUAACGCGUGGGAACCUGCCCUUAGGUUCGGAAUAACUCCCCGAAAGGGGUGCUAAUACCGGAUAAUGUCUUCGGACCAAAGAUUUAUCGCCUUUGGAUGGGCCCGCGUUGGCUUAGCUAGUUGGUAGGGUAAAAGCCUACCAAGGCGACGAUCCAUAGCUGGUCUGAGAGGAUGAUCAGCCACACUGGGACUGAGACACGGCCCAGACUCCUACGGGAGGCAGCAGUGGGGAAUAUUGGACAAUGGGCGAAAGCCUGAUCCAGCAAUGCCGCGUGAGUGAUGAAGGCCUUAGUGUUGUAAAGCUCUUUUACCCGGGAUGAUAAUGACGGUACCGGGAGAAUAAGCUCCGGCUAACUCCGUG
RNAcentral lists this ribosomal RNA (433 nucleotides) under uncultured bacterium. Its description in RNAcentral is "partial 16S ribosomal RNA". It matches the Rfam family "Bacterial small subunit ribosomal RNA", at positions 29 to 507 of the family's 1533-position model. The record is from RNAcentral.